Molecule: ribosomal RNA, 433 nt
Filed under: uncultured bacterium
Lineage: Bacteria
Description: partial 16S ribosomal RNA
Rfam family: Bacterial small subunit ribosomal RNA
Source: RNAcentral
AACGAACGCUGGCGGCAUGCCUAACACAUGCAAGUCGAACGAGACCUUCGGGUCUAGUUGCGCACGGGUGCGUAACGCGUGGGAACCUGCCCUUAGGUUCGGAAUAACUCCCCGAAAGGGGUGCUAAUACCGGAUAAUGUCUUCGGACCAAAGAUUUAUCGCCCUUGGAUGGGCCCGCGUUGGAUUAGCUAGUUGGUAGGGUAAAAGCCUACCAAGGCGACGAUCCAUAGCUGGUCUGAGAGGAUGAGCAGCCACACUGGGACUGAGACACGGCCCAGACUCCUACGGGAAGCAGCAGUGGGGGAUAUUGGACAAUGGGCGGAAUCAUGAACCAGCAAUGCCGCGUGAGUGAUGAAGGUCUUAGAGUUGUAAAGCUCUUUUACCCGGGAUGAUAAUGACAGUACCGAAAGAAUAAGCUCCGGCUAACUCCGUG